UCUCCACUCCUGCCUCCUGGAGACUCAGCGAGCUCGUCCCUCAUUGACUCUACAUCACCCCUCACCCACCGGUCCCAGGUUGUCUGCAGAGUGAGAUUAUGGCGAAGCAUUUUAUUCUUUUUACAAACCUGCUUUUUCUCAGUUUUCCACAUUGGAUUUGCCAGCUACCUGCCUUUGCAGGACACCUCAGAAGUUACAGACUUGCCUGUGGAAAUGCAGAGAGCACCUGAGGUAUUUCCCGGACUCUCCAGUAGUAGCCUUGAAUGGCUGACCAACCGCAGUCACCUGCCAGAUCUUCUCAGAACCGGCCAGCCCACCAGCGACAGGCCCAUUAAGUGGCCUGGCCCAGCCCAGAUGGAAAACCCCCUCCACGUGACUUUCUAAAGAACAUGCAUGAAGACAAAACACCAGGUGCCUCAGGUGUGACACCCUGAGGACACAUCACCUGUACAGUAUCCUAACCCACCCAAGAUGACACAGUAAGGUAAAACCACAGUAGAGCCCAGGCCUGUUUGACUCUGAAGUCCAGGCUCCUUUCCAACUUAGUGCCCUAAAGGCCUGAUUGGGGUGGGGGUAGGCAGGAAGAUUCAAGCACUGAUUGUUUGUAGCCCAGGCUGGGAGGGCAACAGCUCUAGAAAAAAAGUCACUCACUGCUUUAACCAUCUUCCAGCUAACUGCAGUGAGGUGUACAGGGCCAUGGGGCUCUGGGAUGAACUCUUCCACCUCUACACCUUGUAAACAAGGAUUCCAGACACACCCUCCAAAUGGGAAUGGAGACACACGUUUGGCAGAGUUGGACAGUAACGCUGCUCUCCUAUCAGCCUGGACUUUGAGGGGAGUGGAAAACAUGAGUGUGGAGGUGCAGCAGUCCUGGUAUCCCCUGAAACCAGCCUGUGGGGGGAACAGUCUUCCCAGGGGAGCUGCUCAGGAUCGUCCUGGUCCCAUGCAUCAGGAAGAAAAGGGAACCUGAGAGCAGAGGGAAAAUGCAGAAAGUGGGGCAGGGAGACUGCUCCCUGAAACCCCCAUGGGCUGCUGGUCCAAGCAGAAAGUGUUGUCGGAGGGGGGAGAGGCAGGGUGAAAUGGGACAGGAAACGAGGACUUCCGAUGAGGAGGAGGAGGGGGCAGUGGGCUGCGGGUCUUGGGGACUGAACAGAAUGGGGUUUGCUAGACAGAGCUUUCGUCUACCCACUCCUGAAGUCCUGCUGGACCUCAGCUGGCCCUUGUGAACUGUUGAGGGGGAUAUAAACACAAAGGCCUGCAUUCCUGUGGGUGCACAAUCCUAAGAGACCAUGGACUGCCUGUGUGUGGUGGGAACAGGAAAAGGAGGCUGAGUGUAGCCCUGCUUGGAAUUUAGUGUCCACCACAGAUGUAUCCACUACCCAGGGCCAAAGACUCGGCAGCCUCAGAAGACUCAAUGGAAGCUGAGCACAGGACUAGAAAGGGUCAGGGCCCUCCUCUGUAUGUAGGGGUGGCACAUGGCCACUAGCUGGGUGAUGGGGCACUGAGAAAUUAAAUGUUUGACAUAAAAAUGUAAUCAGGACCCGAGAGGAGGUGGGUGGUGUAAUGAACAGCAUCCUAGAAGUCCGGUACAGAUUUCACGUGUCACCUUCUAGUUCCUUAUCUGAAAUUGAAAGGUGAGGUCAGGUGCAGUGGCUCAGGCCUGUAAUCCCAGCACUUAGGGAGGCUGAGGAGGGCAUAUCAUUGAGGUCAGGUGUUUGAGACCAGCCUGGCCAACAUGGUGAAACCUCUACUAAAAAUACGAAAAUUAGCCGGCUGUGCUGCACACGCCUGUCGUCCCAGCUACUUGGGAGGCUGAGGCAGGAGAAUCCCUUGAACCUGGGAGGCAGAGGCUGCAGUGAGCUGAGAUCACACCACUGCACUCAAGCCUGGGCAUCACAGCGAGACUUCUUAAAAAAAAAAAAAAAAUUUAAAGGUGAGCCAGUUCAGGCUUCUAGAGGCACUGCAGUUACAGACGGUAAACUGCACAAAUCCUGGGUGUGAAGCUGUUUUUUCCUGUGUAACCACCACCCAUUGACAGCAUCCCAGAAAGUUCAAGUGUGUCCCUUCCCAGUUUACAGCCACCCGCCUCCCACCCUCACUUCUAAAUCCACCGAUUAGCAGUGUGUCUUGGAAAUUAAUAUACAAGGAAUCAUAUAGUAUGUGCUCUUUUGUGUUUGGCUUCUUUGCUCAAGAUGUCCGUGAGAUUCAGCCGGGUUGCCUCUCUCUGUAAUAUGUUAAUUUAGGUGUAGUAUCCAUUGUCUGGAAAUACAAUUGUCUAUUCUC
Molecule: long non-coding RNA, 2283 nt
Filed under: Homo sapiens (human)
Lineage: Eukaryota; Metazoa; Chordata; Mammalia; Primates; Hominidae
Description: HSALNT0361292
Source: RNAcentral